Non-coding RNA from Callorhinus ursinus (northern fur seal), 878 nucleotides. The record is from RefSeq and is a predicted model, not a curated record. NCBI's taxonomy places the organism in Eukaryota, Metazoa, Chordata, Mammalia, Carnivora, Otariidae.
GCGCCCCGCCGCCGGGAGGAAUGCCGGCGGAGUUUCCCAGGUGUUUGCCGCCUGCGGUGUUGGCGCGGGCUCCAGCCCAGCGCUGUUCCGUCGCGGGUGAAACGCGGUCAGAAUGACCUGGGCGAGGUCAGCGUGUCCGUCCCCGGAGCGUCGGUCUGACUGAAAGCAAGUACUGCGGUCACUAGGGCUCGAGGCAUCCUCACCAUCCUCACUCCCCCCGCCCUCCUAGUCCGGGAGGGGCCCCGGGGCGGGGAGGGGCGCUCAGCCGACGGGUGCUCCGAGUCCCCGCCCUGCUCCUCCCAGCGCAGCCCCGCGCCGCGACACCACCCCUUGGGGAGCACCCAGGGCCCCUGCGGGGGUGGGGGGGUGUGGUCCACAAAGAGCCACCCACCUGCUGUAGCCACAUCCUUCCUGGUGGGACGUACACUUCCCUGGGGCCGCGGUGGGGGGAGGAGGAGGCCGGGAGUGCCCUUCCUUCCUUUAUCACCGCACUCUCCUGCUACUCCAAAUCAGCCAGCACUUAUACAAACGGGCCUCUUAAACAAGUGACCCAAUUCCGGGGCCCGGACAGGGAAAAUAUGAGAUGAGCCUGGCGCAUCGCGUAUCACUAGAAAACUGAAUAUUUGUUUUCCCAAAACCUCAUAUAUUGAAACCUAAUCCCCGGUGUGAUGGUGUUUGGAGGUGAGACCUCUGGGAAGUGCUUAGAUCGUGAGAAGGGAGCCCUCGUGAAUGGGUUCAGUACCCUUGAAAAGGAGCUGAGAAGACAGCUGUCUAUGAACCAAGAAGUGGACUUUCACAGGCAUCAAACCUGCUUAUAACUUGGUUUUGGACUUCCAGCCUCCAGAACUGUGAGAAAUAAAUUGUUUUUUAAGCACCCA